RNAcentral lists this ribosomal RNA (430 nucleotides) under Pseudomonadota bacterium. RNAcentral's name for it is "Proteobacteria bacterium partial 16S ribosomal RNA". It matches the Rfam family "Bacterial small subunit ribosomal RNA", at positions 355 to 776 of the family's 1533-position model. Lineage: Bacteria; Pseudomonadati; Pseudomonadota. The record is from RNAcentral.
UGGGGAAUAUUGGACAAUGGGGGGAACCCUGAUCCAGCCAUGCCGCGUGUGUGAAGAAGGCCUUAUGGUUGUAAAGCACUUUAAGCGAGGAGGAGGGUACUGGUAUUAAUACUACCAGGUACUGGACGUUACUCGCAGAAUAAGCACCGGCUAACUCUGUGCCAGCAGCCGCGGUAAUACAGAGGGUGCGAGCGUUAAUCGGAUUUACUGGGCGUAAAGCGUGCGUAGGCGGCUAAUUAAGUCGGAUGUGAAAUCCCCGAGCUUAACUUGGGAAUUGCAUUCGAUACUGGUUAGCUAGAGUGUGGGAGAGGAUGGUAGAAUUCCAGGUGUAGCGGUGAAAUGCGUAGAGAUCUGGAGGAAUACCGAUGGCGAAGGCAGCCAUCUGGCCUAACACUGACGCUGAGGUACGAAAGCAUGGGGAGCAAACAGG